This 342-nucleotide ribosomal RNA is filed under the name uncultured bacterium. RNAcentral describes it as "bacterial SSU rRNA". It matches the Rfam family "Bacterial small subunit ribosomal RNA", at positions 28 to 334 of the family's 1533-position model. The record is from RNAcentral.
GAUAAACGCUGGCGGCGCACAUAAGACAUGCAAGUCGAACGGAAGUCGUUACGAAACGGAGUGAAGAUUUAUCUGAAUGAAGUUUUGUAACAAUGGCUUUAGUGGCGGACUGGUGAGUAACACGUAAGCAACCUGCCUAUUAGAGGGGAAUAACAAUGAGAAAUCAUUGCUAAUACCGCAUAAGCUUGUAGUAUCGCAUGGUACAGCAAGAAAAGGAGUAAUCCGCUAAUAGAUGGGCUUGCGGCUGAUUAGCUAGUUGGUAAGGUAAUGGCUUACCAAGGCAACGAUCAGUAGCCGGGCUGAGAGGCUCUGCGGCCACAUUGGGACUGAGAUACGGCCCAG